This 253-nucleotide ribosomal RNA is filed under the name uncultured bacterium. Its description in RNAcentral is "partial 16S ribosomal RNA". It matches the Rfam family "Bacterial small subunit ribosomal RNA", at positions 524 to 776 of the family's 1533-position model. The record is from RNAcentral.
UACGUAGGGGGCAAGCGUUGUCCGGAUUUAUUGGGCGUAAAGAGCGUGUAGGCGGCCAGGUAGGUCUGCUGUGAAAACUCGAGGCUUAACCUCGAGAUGUCGGCGGAAACCAUCUGGCUAGAGUCCGGAAGAGGAGAAUGGAAUUCCCGGUGUAGCGGUGAAAUGCGCAGAUAUCGGGAAGAACACCCGUGGCGAAGGCGGCUCUCUGGGACGGUACUGACGCUGAGACGCGAAAGCGUGGGGAGCGAACAGG